AGAUGCUAUUGUUGAGAAAUGUAGAGAUAAAGAAGAUAAUAAAGAACGACUUUAAACGUGGAUCGGAUUGUCAAUUCAAGCCGACAGAUGGUGUUUUUCAUCCCUAUCAUCUGCCGGAAGGGGAGCCUGCAGCAGCUGUAAGAGAAAUGGAGGGGAAAAUUUCCGCUUCACUAAAAAAACUAAAUUGAACUACUCGUAGAUGUUACAGUUAUUACAGUUACAAAACCUCUGCUAGUUGCACGCUCUCUUAGCAGACGUCAAUUAGAGCAUCCCAUUAUCUGAACACGCCAUUGCUUGAUGAGAAAUUUCACGGAAAUUUAUGUGAAAUUAGAAAUGAAGUGGUCAAAGAGGAAACCAAGUUAAGCAAAAUCUCCAUAGCAUUACUAUGCAGUAACGUUGAGUUGAAAAUUCGUGAAACACUUUCAGUUGCCAUUUUCAAGUGGAGGCAUUUCAUCAGAACGGAAUGUUGCAAUAGCCCAACUUCUAAUCAACCGGUAUUUCUAGGAAGAAAAUCUAAGCUCUUGGAAAUGAAAAUAAAAUUCUAGUUACUCGUGUCCGUCCGUAAAGUUAUUCUCUGACGUCCCAAUACUUUAUGGCAAAAUUCAAGAAUUUAAUAUUAAAAGUUUCACCAUUUUGCUCCAACUAACUGAUUAUCCGAUUCUAGCGUCCGACGCACGUAUUAAUUAAUUGAACAGAAAAGGGCCACCCAUGUUGGUCAAUAUAAGUACAUCAAAUUAACAAGUAUAGAUAAGGUAAUGGUGGUUUUGUGUUCACUAGAAAACCCGAUGCUAUAGAAACUGACAGACCAGUUAGGAUACAACGUAAUUCCGCUUAAUCAUUAUCAGAUUUUCAGGAGACAAAACUAUAGGGGGUAAUGAUUACCACAAUUCUAACCAGAGGAACCAUACGAAACAGAAAAGAAUUGUCAAUUGUCCUACCUCUUACGUAAGGCAGGCUCUCGUUGUUGUGCAGCGACGUGGGAGGUCGAUUGUCAUGUAAAAUAACCCACUUCUUGUUCACACACACACACAGAAAAAGGCGAGAGAUUUGAAUUUCCACUUUUCUUUUGAUAUCACUGAAGUGAACACAUCGUCAAACAGAUGCUAUAUAGUUUUAUCUCUGUGAUCGGUGGCACGUCUAUUGGCCGAUACGAAAUUCACGACACGCAGAUGAGUUGACAGCAUGCAAAUAUCAUCACAGAGUAGCAGGGCAAUAUCGGUACGCACAACUCGUCAUAUAGCCUUCAGCUGUAUAGGUCUAUAGAAACAGUCUAGAUAAAUAGUUUCCGCACUGUAUGCAAAUCAAGUCUUCUUGAACAAGUAUAACCAAGUUCUAUAUAUAUACAACAGCCUUGUGUCAACAUGAAAGUGCGCGCGACGUUGCAUCCUGCCAGGACACGUUGCGUACGAAAACUGAAAAAUGCACAAUGCAUCUCUCCUGUUGAAUUGUUGAUUCGCAUGUUUAAGCUUAUUUAUUUUUACUGACCUGUUGCAUUCAUUUCAGUUAAUCAAAAAUUGGCUGUUUUUUUUUAAAAGAAAAGUUGCCAUUAGCUUAAAUGUAUUCAUGUCAUUUUCAAUUACGAAUGUAACGCGUUUGGACUUGAAAAUGGGGGUUGUCACACACAUCGAUUUUUUUUUUUACGUUCUUGCUGACUGCUGUGAAGGAAAUCUUAUGUUUGAUUUAAAAUACUAUUCUAUCCUUAUCCAGAAAUAGUGAAUACUAUUUCGCCGAACGCAGGAUCGAGCGGCAAUUUGUGUGGCGGGAGUUGAGAGCGUACAGCAAUAAAAGGAGAACUCCAUAAAAUAGUGUUUUUGACAGUUUGCAUUAGAGCAGCGUCCUGGCCAUUCAUGAUGACCGGAUCAUCAUUUACCCAUAUGAAUAUAUCCAUAAACGGAGUAAAAUAUAGAAAAGGCUUCUCAAUUUCAGCGGUUGGCAUAACGCAAAUUCGACUACAUUACGGAAUUUGUAAAAUGUUUUUCUCGAUACUUCCCGUCGUAUAUAAUCAUUUUAUAUAUCAUCGUUUUCCGUCUAUUUUUAUGCACGAGCUAUUACAAAUCUAUGUAAAUGAGAUGUAAAAUAUCUUAGCAAUUUUCAAUAAAAAUGGCAGGCUUUUAAUUUA
Molecule: long non-coding RNA, 2119 nt
Filed under: Daphnia magna
Lineage: Eukaryota; Metazoa; Arthropoda; Branchiopoda; Diplostraca; Daphniidae
Description: uncharacterized LOC116933318
Source: RNAcentral